GACGAACGCUGGCGGCGUGCUUAACACAUGCAAGUCGAACGGUAAGGCCCUUCGGGGUACACGAGCGGCGAACGGGUGAGUAACACGAGGGUGAUCUGCCCUGCACUUCGGGAUAAGCCUGGGAAACUGGGUCUAAUACCGGAUAGGACUCCUGGCUUCAUGGUUGGGGGUGGAAAGCUUUUGCGGUGUGGGAUGGGCCCGCGGCCUAUCAGCUUGUUGGUGGGGUAAUGGCCUACCAAGGCGACGACGGGUAGCCGGCCUGAGAGGGUGACCGGUCACACUGGGACUGAGAUACGGCCCAGACUCCUACGGGAGGCAGCAGUGGGGAAUAUUGCACAAUGGGCGCAAGCCUGAUGCAGCGACGCCGCGUGAGGGAUGACGGCCUUCGGGUUGUAAACCUCUUUCAGCUAUGACGAAGCGCAAGUGACGGUAGUAGCAGAAGAAGGACCGGCCAACUACGUGCCAGCCGCCGCAGUAA
RNAcentral lists this ribosomal RNA (478 nucleotides) under uncultured bacterium. RNAcentral's name for it is "partial 16S ribosomal RNA". It matches the Rfam family "Bacterial small subunit ribosomal RNA", at positions 28 to 523 of the family's 1533-position model. The record is from RNAcentral.